This 470-nucleotide ribosomal RNA is filed under the name uncultured bacterium. RNAcentral's name for it is "bacterial SSU rRNA". It matches the Rfam family "Bacterial small subunit ribosomal RNA", at positions 355 to 839 of the family's 1533-position model. The record is from RNAcentral.
UGGGGAAUCUUGCACAAUGGGCGAAAGCCUGAUGCAGCAACGCCGCGUGCGGGAAGACAGCCCUAGGGUUGUAAACCGCUUUCAGCAGGGAAGAAACUGACGGUACCUGCAGAAGAAGAUGCGGCCAACUACGUGCCAGCAGCCGCGGUGACACGUAGGCAUCAAGCGUUAUCCGGAUUUAUUGGGCGUAAAGAGCUCGUAGGCGGUUCGGUAAGUCGGGUGUGAAAACUCUGGGCUCAACCCAGAGAGGCCACUCGAUACUGCUGUGACUAGAGUGCGGUAGGGAGCGGGGAAUUCCUGGUGUAGCGGUGAAAUGCGCAGAUAUCAGGAGGAACACCAGUGGCGAAGGCGCCGCUCUGGGCCGUAACUGACGCUGAGGAGCGAAAGCAUGGGUAGCAAACAGGAUUAGAUACCCUGGUAGUCCAUGCCGUAAACGUUGGGCACUAGGUGUGGGUCUCAACCGAACGAGA